GCGCAGCAGGCGAGAACCUUCGCAAUGCGGGAACCGCGACGAGGGGACUCCCGGUGCCUACGCUCAGCGUAGGCUGUUCCCGAGCCUAGAAAGCUCGGGGAGUAAGGGCUGGGUAAGACGGGUGCCAGCCGCCGCGGUAAUACCCGCAGCCCGAGUGGUGGCCACUAUUAUUGGGCCUAAAGCGUCCGUAGCCGGCCCGGUAAAUGCCUGGGUAAAUCGUGAGGCCUAACCUCACGAAUUCCGGGUAGACUGCCGGGCUAGGGACCGGAGGAGGGAGAGGGUACUCCAGGGGUAGGGGUGAAAUCCUGUAAUCCCUGGAGGACCACCGGUGGCGAAGGCGCUCUCCUAGGACGGGUCCGACGGUGAGGGACGAAAGCCAGGGGAGCGAACCGGAUUAGAUACCCCUGUAGU
Molecule: ribosomal RNA, 411 nt
Filed under: uncultured microorganism
Description: bacterial SSU rRNA
Rfam family: Archaeal small subunit ribosomal RNA
Source: RNAcentral